Molecule: ribosomal RNA, 301 nt
Filed under: uncultured bacterium
Lineage: Bacteria
Description: partial 16S ribosomal RNA
Rfam family: Bacterial small subunit ribosomal RNA
Source: RNAcentral
CAGUCCGCGGUAAUACGAAGGGUGCAAGCGUUAAUCGGAAUUACUGGGCGUAAAGCGUGCGUAGGCGGUUUGUUAAGUCUGCUGUGAAAUCCCCGGGCUCAACCUGGGAAUGGCAGUGGAUACUGGCAAGCUAGAGUGUGUCAGAGGAUGGUGGAAUUCCCGGUGUAGCGGUGAAAUGCGUAGAGAUCGGGAGGAACAUCAGUGGCGAAGGCGGCCAUCUGGGACAACACUGACGCUGAGGCACGAAAGCGUGGGGAGCAAACAGGAUUAGAUACCCGAGUAGUCCCUGUCUCUUAUACAC